This 253-nucleotide ribosomal RNA is filed under the name uncultured bacterium. Its description in RNAcentral is "partial 16S ribosomal RNA". It matches the Rfam family "Bacterial small subunit ribosomal RNA", at positions 524 to 776 of the family's 1533-position model. The record is from RNAcentral.
UACAGAGGGUGCAAGCGUUAAUCGGAAUUACUGGGCGUAAAGCGCGCGUAGGUGGUUUGUUAAGUUGGAUGUGAAAGCCCCGGGCUCAACCUGGGAACUGCAUCCAAAACUGGCAAGCUAGAGUACGGUAGAGGGUGGUGGAAUUUCCUGUGUAGCGGUGAAAUGCGUAGAUAUAGAAAGGAACACCAGUGGCGAAAGCGGCUUCCUGGUCCGACACCGACGUUCAGGCACGAAAGCGUGGGGAGCAAACAGG